Molecule: ribosomal RNA, 305 nt
Filed under: uncultured bacterium
Lineage: Bacteria
Description: bacterial SSU rRNA
Rfam family: Bacterial small subunit ribosomal RNA
Source: RNAcentral
CUCCUACGGGGCGCAGCAGUAGGGAAUCUUCCACAAUGGACGAAAGUCUGAUGGAGCAACGCCGCGUGAGUGAAGAAGGGUUUCGGCUCGUAAAGCUCUGUUGGUAGUGAAGAAAGAUAGAGGUAGUAACUGGCCUUUAUUUGACGGUAAUUACUUAGAAAGUCACGGCUAACUACGUGCCAGCAGCCGCGGUAAUACGUAGGUGGCAAGCGUUGUCCGGAUUUAUUGGGCGUAAAGCGAGUGCAGGCGGUUCAAUAAGUCUGAUGUGAAAACCCUCCGGUCAACCGGGAGAUUGCAACAAAAAA